AGCUAGUUGGUGAGAUAAUAGCUCACCAAGGCGAUGAUACGUAGCAGACCUGAGAGGGUAAUCUGCCACAAUGGGACUGAGACACGGCCCAUACUCCUACGGGAGGCAGCAGUAGGGAAUCUUCCACAAUGGACGAAAGUCUGAUGGAGCAACGCCGCGUGAGUGAAGAAGGGUUUCGGCUCGUAAAACUCUGUUGUUAGAGAAGAACGGCUGUGAGAGUAACUGCUCACAGUGUGACGGUAUCUAACCAGAAAGUCACGGCUAACUACGUGCCAGCAGCCGCGGUAAUACGUAGGUGGCAAACGUUGUCCGGAUUUAUUGGGCGUAAAGGGAGCGCAGGCGGUUUAUUAAGUCUGAUGUGAAAGCCUUCGGCUUAACCGGAGAAGUGCAUCGGAAACUGAUAAACUUGAGUGCAGAAAAGGAUAGUGGAACUUCAUGUGUAGCGGUGAAAUGCGUAGAUAUAUGAAGGAACACCAGUGGCGAAGGCGGCUAUCUGGUCUGUAACUGACGCUGAGGCUCGAAAGCAUGGGUAGUAAACAGGAUUAGAUACCCUGGUAGUCCAUGCCGUAAACGAUGAAUGCUAGGUGUUGGGAGGUUUCCGCCUCUCAGUGCCGCAGCUAACGCAUUAAGCAUUCCGCCUGGGGAGUACGACCGCAAGGUUGAAACCCAAAGGAAUUGACGGGGACCCGCACAAGCGGUGGAGCAUGUGGUUUAAUUCGAUGCUACGCGAAGAACCUUACCAGGACUUGACAUCUUCUGCCAAUCUAAGAGAUUAGACG
RNAcentral lists this ribosomal RNA (779 nucleotides) under uncultured bacterium. RNAcentral's name for it is "bacterial SSU rRNA". It matches the Rfam family "Bacterial small subunit ribosomal RNA", at positions 243 to 1013 of the family's 1533-position model. The record is from RNAcentral.